GAUUGAACGCUGGCGGCAGGCCUAACACAUGCAAGUCGAACGGUAACAGGAAGCAGCUUGCUGCUUYGCUGACGAGUGGCGGACGGGUGAGUAAUGUCUGGGAAACUGCCUGAUGGAGGGGGAUAACUACUGGAAACGGUGGCUAAUACCGCAUAACGUCGCAAGACCAAAGAGGGGGACCUUCGGGCCUCUUGCCAUCAGAUGUGCCCAGAUGGGAUUAGCUWGUUGGUGAGGUAACGGCUCACCAAGGCGACGAUCCCUAGCUGGUCUGAGAGGAUGACCAGCCACACUGGAACUGAGACACGGUCCAGACUCCUACGGGAGGCAGCAGUGGGGAAUAUUGCACAAUGGGCGCAAGCCUGAUGCAGCCAUGCCGCGUGUAUGAAGAAGGCCUUCGGGUUGUAAAGUACUUUCAGCGGGGAGGAAGGUGUUGKGGUUAAUAACCGCAGCAAUUGACGUUACCCGCAGAAGAAGCACCGGCUAACUCC
Molecule: ribosomal RNA, 488 nt
Filed under: Salmonella enterica subsp. enterica serovar Idikan
Lineage: Bacteria; Pseudomonadati; Pseudomonadota; Gammaproteobacteria; Enterobacterales; Enterobacteriaceae
Description: bacterial SSU rRNA
Rfam family: Bacterial small subunit ribosomal RNA
Source: RNAcentral